RNAcentral lists this ribosomal RNA (253 nucleotides) under uncultured bacterium. RNAcentral's name for it is "partial 16S ribosomal RNA". It matches the Rfam family "Bacterial small subunit ribosomal RNA", at positions 524 to 776 of the family's 1533-position model. The record is from RNAcentral.
UACAGAGGGUGCGAGCGUUAAUCGGAAUUACUGGGCGUAAAGGGCGCGUAGGCGGCCUGUUAAGUCGAACGUGAAAUCCCCGGGCUCAACCCGGGAACUGCGUCCGAUACUGGCAGGCUUGAAUCCGGGAGAGGGAUGUGGAAUUCCAGGUGUAGCGGUGAAAUGCGUAGAUAUCUGGAGGAACACCGGUGGCGAAGGCGGCAUCCUGGACCGGUAUUGACGCUGAGGCGCGAAAGCCAGGGGAGCAAACGGG